GAUGAACGCUGGCGGCGUGCCUAAUACAUGCAAGUCGAGCGAACAGACGAGGAGCUUGCUCCUCUGACGUUAGCGGCGGACGGGUGAGUAACACGUGGAUAACCUACCUAUAAGACUGGGAUAACUUCGGGAAACCGGAGCUAAUACCGGAUAAUAUAUUGAACCGCAUGGUUCAAUAGUGAAAGACGGUUUUGCUGUCACUUAUAGCAGGAUCCGCGCCGCAUUAGCUAGUUGGUCAGGUAACGGCUUACCAAGGCGACGAUGCGUAGCCGACCUGAGAGGGUGAUCGGCCACACUGGAACUGAGACACGGUCCAGACUCCUGCGGGAGGCAGCAGUAGGGAAUCUUCCGCAAUGGGCGAAAGCUUGACGGAGCAACGCCGCGUGAGUGAUGAAGGUCUUCGGAUCGUAAAACUCUGUUAUUAGGGAAGAACAAAUGUGUAAGUAACUAUGCACGUCUUGACGGUACCUACUCAGAAAGCCACGGCUAACUACGUG
Molecule: ribosomal RNA, 497 nt
Filed under: uncultured bacterium
Lineage: Bacteria
Description: partial 16S ribosomal RNA
Rfam family: Bacterial small subunit ribosomal RNA
Source: RNAcentral